UGACCUCGGAUCAGGUAGGAAUACCCGCUGAACUUAAGCAUAUCAAUAAGCGGAGGAAAAGAAACCAACAGGGAUUGCCCUAGUAACGGCGAGUGAAGCGGCAACAGCUCGAAUUUGAAAUCUGGCCUCGGCCCGAGUUGUAAUCUGUAGAGGACGCUUUUGGCGCGGUGCCUUCCGAGUUCCCUGGAACGGGACGCCAUAGAGGGUGAGAGCCCCGUAAGGUCGGACACCAAGCCUGUGUAAAGCUCCUUCGACGAGUCGAGUAGCUUGGGAAUGCUGCUCUAAGCGGGAGGUAAACUUCUUCUAAAGCUAAAUACCGGCCAGAGACCGAUAGCGCACAAGUAGAGUGAUCGAAAGAUGAAAAGCACUUUGAAAAGAGGGUCAAAUAGUACGUGAAAUUGUUGAAAGGGAAGCGCUCAUGACCAGACUUGCGCCGGGCGGAUCAUCCAGCGGUUUCCGCUGGUGCACUCCGUCCGGCUCAGGCCAGCGUCGGCUGUCGCGGGGGGACAAAAGCUCUGGGAAAGUAGCUCCCUCCGGGGAGUGUUAUAGCCCACUGCAGAAUAUCCCCGCGGCGGCCGAGGUCCGCGCCCUGCAAGGACGCUGGCGUAAUGGUCAUCAGCGACCCGUCUUGAAACACGGACCAAGGAGUCGAGGUUUUGCGCGAGUGUUCGGGUGCAAAGCCCCAGCGCGUAAUUAAAGUGAACGUAGGUGAGAGCUUCGGCGCAUCAUCGACCGAUCCUGAUGUAUUCGGAUGGAUUUGAGUAGGAGCGUAAAGCCUCGGACCCGAAAGAUGGUGAACUAUGCCUGUAUAGGGUGAAGCCAGAGGAAACUCUGGUGGAGGCUCGCAGCGGUUCUGACGUGCAAAUCGAUCGUCAAAUAUGGGCAUGGGGGCGAAAGACUAAUCGAACCAUCUAGUAGCUGGUUACCGCCGAAGUUUCCCUCAGGAUAGCAGUGUUGUUCUUCAGUUUUAUGAGGUAAAGCGAAUGAUUAGGG
Molecule: ribosomal RNA, 993 nt
Filed under: Phialemonium sp.
Lineage: Eukaryota; Fungi; Ascomycota; Sordariomycetes; Cephalothecales; Cephalothecaceae
Description: partial large subunit ribosomal RNA
Rfam family: Eukaryotic large subunit ribosomal RNA
Source: RNAcentral